GUGCCAGCAGCCGCGGUAACACAUAAGUUGCAAGCGUUGUUCGGAUUCAUUGGGCGUAAAGGGCAUGUAGGCGGUAUAUCAAGUCUGGUGUGAAAUAUCUCGGCUCAACCGAGAAAAUGCACUGGAAACUGAUAAACUAGAGUAUAGGAAGGGAAGCUAGAAUUCCAGGUGUAGGGGUGAAAUCUGUAGAUAUUCGAAGGAACACCAGUGGCGAAGGCGGCUCUCUGGACCGAUACUGACGCUGAGAUGCGAAAGCGUGGGGAGCAAACAGGAUUAGAAACCCCUGUAGUCC
This 292-nucleotide ribosomal RNA is filed under the name uncultured bacterium. RNAcentral describes it as "partial 16S ribosomal RNA". It matches the Rfam family "Bacterial small subunit ribosomal RNA", at positions 505 to 796 of the family's 1533-position model. The record is from RNAcentral.